GCAGAGAUUAAUUUAAGCUACCGUCGAGAUAUGUUGUUAACUUAUUCUACAGUUGAGAAAACGGUAAAAGGAGAAAGGACCACGGAAAAAUGUCCAUUAUAAAAUGGCUGUAUUUAGGGGUAACUCGAUACAUCUAUUACAUUCCAGCAGUACACGCCAUCACCGUUUUAUCUUGUAUUUUAAUCUUACAGUACAUAGCAUUACACGUAACAUGGUUUCAUACAGCUAACACCAUACAUACUGCACUCUCGCCACAGUUUCCAGCACUUCCGUUUUUGUUUUUCCACCUUACGACGAAACGUGAGUGGAGCAAAUCUGAGUAAGAACCUUCAAUCGCAGGUACCGCAGUUAAAUAACAGAAUCGUCCUUUCCAAGGUACAAAGGAACGUUUUAAUAAAUGGUCGUAGAGUAGAUCGACAGAAAAGUUAAGGAACGUGGUUAGUAUUUUUUCAGAUUGCCAACUGAGAGCGUUUAUCUCGUUUCUCGUCUUUCGUCUCCCGAUCGCUUUCGAGCGAAAAUAAAACCGAAUACGAAAGAAACGUAAGUUAUUUUCCAUUACCUUCCCGUUUCAAAUAUCCUUUGCUUUCUGUCGUAUCGUACUGAUAGCCAAUUUUACCGUCAUUUGUUAUUUCAAAAUAUUCCAAGCAUCGAAUCACCGGAAUGUAAAUAUCUUCGUGGAUUGGGUGUAUUUUUGUCUGUAAUACAUCUUGGCGAAAGGAACAGCAACAACAAUGAAAAAUUUCAUGAAAACGGUAAACAGUGGCUAUCAAUUGUUAAACAAUUAUUCGCACAGAAGCGUGCACAUAUCUCUCCAACUUAGGUACAAUUAAUAUUUACAUCAGUAAAAUCGUUAAUGAACACCGCGUGAAACACAUUGGUUGUAUCGGAUGAUCACGUUUCUCGUGAGCACUCGCGAUAAUGAUUCAAAGUUUCGUAGCAGCUAUUAGACAUUAAAUUAUGCUUAGAGAGGCAAUCGUAAGAACAAUGAAGAAGUAAUCGAAGCGAACUUAACGUUGUCAACGACGAAUAUAUAUUUGCAUCUAGAACGGAUCUCGCCUGUUUGUCGCUUGAGAGCACGUUUCGUCAUAACACAAUAAUAACUGUUUAGAUAUAUACUCUAGAAAAAUAACGUUAUAAACAUUCCUUACCGGUUGGGUCAAUUAGACGUUACAAACGUUACUAUAACUUUUUUUCUCAAGUAAAAAUAUAAAUAUUCUCGUUCAUAGUGCGAUAUCUCUGGUGUAAACCUCGCUUGACUUAGUGUUUACGCUAUAUUUUUUAUUUUUUUUCUCUAUUACGCUUCAAAGAUAAUUUUUCACUCUUAUUACAUCUUAUAACGCGUUUAUUCUCGUCUCCGCGCCGUAUCCGUUAGAAUUAUUUUGCACCCCGCGAAAAACCAAAGACCUAUCGAACGGGUCUCUCCCAUCGGAUUGUUGUAUCGGAUAUAGACACGUGCGUACACACGUGUUUUAAUUAACAACGACUUGUACUCGCGAUCGUUUUAAUAAAGUAAUGAAAGACGUUUUCUUAUUACAAUAAUUACUCAUGACCAUCGUUCUGUUUCGGUCGCAGUUGUUAACGAUAUAUUGUAUUGCCUACUUGCGAUGCUACUACGUUAGACCGCUUCACAUUAGGCAAACCGAGACAAAAUUUGCGACAGCGAUAGCGAGUGUAAAGAGGGAAGAAGCCGUUUUGAACUGCGAAACGUGUACUCGAAAAUAAUCUCGGCAAAUCGAGGGUAUCCGCGACGAUUUUACAUCGUUCGGACGUCUUUGACGUGGUUACGUCGAUUUGAUUAGUGUUUAUUUCGCCCUUUCGAUUUGACCGAUUUUACGAGUGUCGUCUAAACCAGGGAUUCUCAUCGUGUAACUCCUCAAAGGGUCAGGGGUGAAAGAUGUCAGAAGUUGGGAAGUCACAGCUCGAUUCGAUACAGUUAUUUUUACCAAUGAACAGUAAUCAAGGAAGGUGUGAUUAUCAUUGUACAGUGUGUGUAAAAAGUAUUCGUACAUCGAUCAAUUUCCAAAAAAAAAAAAAAAAAAAAAACUAUGUGAAGUACAAACUCUACUGUAAAUGGUUCGCCAUGAGAACCGUACGAAUAUUUAUUGUUUCUAUAUUUCUGUCGAUUUUUCGUACUUUCUUGUUAAUUUCGCAAAUUAUAUAAAUCUACAGAUUUCCAAGAAUAUGUAGAAUAUCAUUGAUUAUAAAAAAAAAGAAGUUAAUAAACUACAAUCUGACACAAAAGUUUUUUUGGGAAAUUGUUCGGUGUACGAAUCCAUACCACGUCGACUGUAAAAUAUAACUGAAAUGGGCGUGAGUCAAAACACGAUUGAGAAACACUAAUUUAGAUGGCACCCAACGAACACCAAACCUAGGAAAAGUGCAACAUGACCGUGCAAUUUCAGAUCCGCUCGACCAAGAAGUCUUCCUCUAAUCAACGUGAAUCUUUCGGGCUUCAACGAUGGGAUCGUUGCAUGUAUCCGAACGCUUCGAAACGAUUGAUUGUUUUCCAAGUAAUUAAACAAUUCUAUCAAUUUCCAUUUAAUCGUUCGUGUCGUCUGACUCUGUAGUUGCAUCCUGUGACCAUUCCCGAUCUCAAUGUGAAGCGCGGAUACUUUUACGCCAGCCGACGGACGCGAAACGUAGAUACGUUUGAUUAUACUAACGAAUAACCGGUUCGAGGACGCGUCCCGUCUCGAGGUUCAUCUGGCGGAAGGACCUCCAGAGUCACGGGACGCCCUCGCGAUUAGAACAACGUAGUUACACUUAUUUAACGAUUACGAUUAUUAUACAUCUAAGUUAAUCAAGUUUCUCCCUCCGUAUCUAGCAACGUGCGUAUUGAUUAUUUGAUUACCUCUGCAUCAUCCAACGCGUUUGAUAUCGACUAGUUUUCGGUUCCCCUGUUUUCUUGGCGCGGUCCUUGAUCAUUCUCGGUGCGACUCCGGUGCGAGGAUCGUUCUUACAAAGCCACGAGCACGCGUUUCUCAAGUUACGAUUACGGCACACGGGUUUGAAAAUGUUCUGCGAGUAGAAAUAUUCGGUUCGCUCGGUGUUUAAGGAGGCAUUCUGGUUCGCCGCUUCGAAGUGUUCAUUUUCUUUCUUUUCGUGUUUUCGUUAUAGUCUGCAUAGUAGAACUUACCGCCUUGUAAAUAAACAAAGAAAUUCAUAUUUAUACACACACAUAGUUUCUUUAACGAAAUUCUUCAGAAUCUCUUUUCGCAUAUUUAUGUCGACACUCUGUAAUUAAACACAAAGUUCACGUUUCAAUGUUUACGUAUUUCCUUAAACGAAACCUUUGAAGACCCUUGUUUUCAGCGAUUCAAACCAGAAUACCGUCUCGAGUCACGGAAACAAUUUCGCAACAUGAGCGAUAACGUACAAGCGCAUCCGGCAACCUCGAUCCAACUCACAUUUGCGCAUCGCUUGGCUCGUUCUAUCACUGUACCAAAUGACUGACGCGAAUAAAACAAACGAAGAACUAACUUCCGACGUUCCGCUGAAAAAAUAAACGCGACGUAAAAAUAAAUUCAAAUCUUCCGCAAAGUUCGAACGUCGGCGUCGUUAGUCUUCCGAGCGUUUUCCUCGUCGUCUUAGUUCCGAUUCAGAGAUUCGCGCGACGAUUAGGCGAAUCAACGGUUCCCGACGCUCUCCGGGGUAUCAAAAAUCUUACGGAAUAUCGACUCUUGAGCAACCCUAUCCGGGAAACAAUUAUGCGUGUAGAACAAGCGCCCUAUGGUCGUCCUCGAACUUCGAACAGCGCGGAUCGAAAGGAAGACUUGCGUACUCCUCUUAAGGGUGUCUGUGUCAGCGUUUCCCAAAAUGUCAUGGAACACUUCCCAAUAGUAAUGGAACACUUCGUGUCGCGAUAUAUUCAUGCUUGUAUCCUUCCAUGGUCAUCUCCUUUUUAAACUUAAGUGUACGUAGACAUCAGGUAAUUAAUGCUCGAAAUAUUUCAAAGUUGCACUCCAUACAAGAUAGUACAUAUAUUAUUGAGAGCAAACAUCGAUUUUAAUUAAUAAGAAAAGUUAUAUACACUCAUAACAAGCGACACAAAUUUCGAUUGUUACGAAGGGAGAAUUAAUCACGCUACAUCGUUGGUUUCUCGUUAAUGUCAUCGGUUGGAAAUCAAGUAUUUCGUGAUCCGUUUGAUAAGCAAUCUGCGCCAAUGUAUCGAUGACCGAAGAGAAUGAUGUUGUAAGUUAGGACGAUACAAGAUUAGUGUACAGAUAUGCAAAAUCGAUUUUAUUCUUUCCAACAGUUGAUGACGAUUUUCACAGAACACCAGUGUUCCGCGGAACACAGCUUGGGAAACGCUGGUCUGUGCAAUCAAUUUUACGCGUAAUUUGCCGUCUCGCGACGAAUACAAACGUUUACGGCUCGUCGUGUCGGUACGUAGAAUAAUUACAAUGAAAUCUGCCAGCAGAGUAGGACGUUACGAUACGAUAUACAAUUUGUACGCGCGUAUACGAUGACGUAAAUAUAAUAUAAUAUAAUGUAAUAUAAUAUAUAGAAUAGAAUAUAACGCGAUGUCGUAUGCAUUUCAAUGUAUCAUAAAAUCUGUGUCGAAGAGUAUUCUAUAAAAAUACUUUUCGGUAGGGUCGAUCAACGAUAAUUCUCUGUCGGACAGAGCUGUCCCUUAUUCGCAUAUCACCCUCGUGACGAAAGUCUUUGUACCGCGAUGCAAUCGUUUGUUACCAUAUAUUUGGGAACAGCUCUGCGCCUUGGGGUUUAGCCCUCUCAGACGCUUUUAUCGUAAUAAUUAAUACAAUUUUAUUAUUUCGUUACGAAAAUAUCGAUGAACUCUUUCCUUGAUAAUAAAAUAUGUUUAACGUCAAAGUGGUGGCAGAAAAAUACAAAAUAAAAUAAAAUAAAAUUUAUAUUUAUGUCGUUCUGCAUAAUGAAAGUGCGUCUAAUUUUCUACCAAAAAUGAUUCAGCUUUCAAAAGUUAAAAGCUCGUCUUUAGUUUACAGAAUUACCUUUUGUCUGAAAGGGUUAACCAUAGGUACUCCUUGUAUUGGGAAUUCGAGGAAAAUGGUAAGCCCCGUCGCGGGGCAAGUAUAUGUAUAAUUGAUUCGAAGGACGUGCACUGCGAUCGGAGUCCCCGCGAAUCCGCGUGAUCUAUAACAAUGAGAUAGGUACCUAUUACAAGCGCGCGUGACAAGUGUGCGUUUAGUGUCGCGUUGCGAACUGAGAUGCAUCCGCUGGACUGUUCGCAUGGUUGGUGUCCCACGCGAGUCCGAUUAAUGCGUUUGUUCGAUGCGACGGAACUGCGGGGUCUCCGAUUCUGUGCGCGAUACCUUUGGGAAAGAUAUAUACAGGAUGCGUCGUACGCCAACGAGAUUCGAGACUCUUGAACUGCGAUCGUUGUCUCGCGCUUGUUGUGCCCUGGCAAACUACACGACAGGAAAUUCGAUCGAAUGAGCACCGCAUCGAAAGAUCACGGCCGUCCUGACCCACUCCGUCGCACGUGUCUCCUGUGAAUUACUUAAAAUGCAUUCGCGCAGGACCAGCUAUUUUUAAAAGUCUUUGGUCUCGAUACAAAUAUCGGCGCCACGCGUCGAGAAACACGACACACGGGGGACAAUUCAGAUAAUGGAUGGCUGGUUCUACGAUCCGAUUGUACGUUGGGUCGGUGAAUUAACCUUUGCUUACGACAUUCGCGGAAGUUAAGCGAUUCUUUACCAAUUGAAUCCGUUUACGGUAAGUAUUCAAUCGCAUGUAAUGUCGAGCACGCGAGGAUACUGUGUCGUUGCACUGCGUUUGUUGAAGGAAACAGACCUCACACACACGAGCAGUGCUCAUGAAUUUAGUUAGAAAAAUGGGACAUUGAAUUUCAAAUAUAAAAGUACGUUGCUUAAAUCUGAAAUGGUAUUACACACAGUAUUUGAGUUACAAAUCGUCUCCGUUUCCGUUUUCAAACACGUGCUACCAUCUAAUGGGAACGAGCGGUCUAGGUUGACCGCGUCUGAUCAUGAGCGUCUGCUUCUACUGCGGUCGGUCUGGUCGGCAUUCGCAGUACUCACUGCUCGUUCUACACGAAAUCGAUCGUUCUUCCACUGGAUGUCGAAAUUUUUUAUCGGAAUGAAGAAACGAUUCGAAUGUCAUACGCGUAACAAUUAUUUUUUUUUAAUUCUAUCACACGGACUGUAAUGUCUUUUAAUCUUCAAUGAAAUGCGAUUUUCAUUUUUUUGCUCUGCGGGUAACGAAUAAUUUCUCGUCUCAAUAAUAAAAUCAAUUUUCGCCAGCUAAACAAGUAUAGAAAUGAUUCCUCGUUGAAAUAGUCACCGGAGCAACUACCUAAUAUUUAAAAGAAAACUACAACUUUUUAACGCUGUAGCGUAAGCGACGAUAAAAAAU
Long non-coding RNA from Hylaeus volcanicus, 6354 nucleotides. RefSeq lists it as uncharacterized. The record is from RefSeq and is a predicted model, not a curated record. The transcript is spliced from 3 exons. Lineage: Eukaryota; Metazoa; Arthropoda; Insecta; Hymenoptera; Colletidae.